Molecule: ribosomal RNA, 468 nt
Filed under: uncultured bacterium
Lineage: Bacteria
Description: partial 16S ribosomal RNA
Rfam family: Bacterial small subunit ribosomal RNA
Source: RNAcentral
GACGAACGCUGGCGGCGUGCUUAACACAUGCAAGUCGAACGGAAAGGCCCUGCUUUUGUGGGGUGCUCGAGUGGCGAACGGAUGAGUAACACGUGAGUAACCUGCCCUUGACUUUGGGAUAACUUAAGGAAACUGGUGCUAAUACCGGAUAGGAGCUCCUGCUGCAUGGUGGGGGUUGGAAAGUUUCGGCGGGUGGGGAUGGACUCGCGGCUGCUCCGGUUGGUGGUGGGGUAGAGGCUUACCAAGGCUUUGACGGGUAGCCGGCCUGAGAGGGUGACCGGCCACAUUGGGACUGAGAUACGGCCCAGACUCCUACGGGAGGCAGCAGUGGGGAAUAUUGCACAAUGGGCGGAAGCCUGAUGCAGCAACGCCGCGUGCGGGAUGACGGCCUUCGGGUUGUAAACCGCUUUCGCCUGUGACGAAGCGUGAGUGACGGUAAUGGGUAAAGAAGCACCGGCUAACUACGUG